GCUGGGCAUGGUGGCGUGUGCCUGUAGUCCCCGCUACUGGGAGGCUGAGGUGAGAGGAUCACUUGACCCCAGGAGGUUGAGACUGCAGUGAGCCAAGAUUGCACCACUGCACUCUAGCCUGGGCAGCAGAGUGAGACCCUGUCUCUG
RNAcentral lists this small RNA (147 nucleotides) under Macaca fascicularis (crab-eating macaque). RNAcentral describes it as "Metazoan signal recognition particle RNA (ENSMFAG00000058603.1)". The record is from Rfam by way of RNAcentral. Lineage: Eukaryota; Metazoa; Chordata; Mammalia; Primates; Cercopithecidae.